Molecule: ribosomal RNA, 320 nt
Filed under: uncultured eukaryote
Lineage: Eukaryota
Description: partial 18S ribosomal RNA
Rfam family: Eukaryotic small subunit ribosomal RNA
Source: RNAcentral
CCCCUAGAUGUUCUGGGCCGCACGCGCGCUACACUGAACAGUUCAACAAGUCUUAACCUUGGCCGAUAGGUCUGGGUAAUCUUUGAACGCUGUUCGUGAUUGGGAUAGACCUUUGCAAUUAUGGGUCUUCAACGAGGAAUUCCUAGUAAACGCAAGUCAUCAGCUUGCAUUGAUUACGUCCCUGCCCUUUGUACACACCGCCCGUCGCACCUACCGAUUGAAUGGUCCGGGGAAAUCUCGGGACGGCGGCUUGGUCGCUUGCGUCCGACUGCUGAAACUUGAUUAAACCAUAUCAUUUAGAGGAAGGUGAAGUCGUAACA